RNAcentral lists this ribosomal RNA (497 nucleotides) under uncultured bacterium. RNAcentral's name for it is "partial 16S ribosomal RNA". It matches the Rfam family "Bacterial small subunit ribosomal RNA", at positions 28 to 507 of the family's 1533-position model. The record is from RNAcentral.
GAUGAACGCUGGCGGCGUGCCUAAUACAUGCAAGUCGAGCGAACGGACGAGAAGCUUGCUUCUCUGAUGUUAGCGGCGGACGGGUGGGUAACACGUGGAUAACCUACCUAUAAGACUGGGAUAACUUCGGGAAACCGGAGCUAAUACCGGAUAAUAUUUUGAACCACAUGGUUCAAAAGUGAAAGACGGUCUUGCUGUCACUUAUAGAUGGAUCCGCGCUGCAUUAGCUAGUUGGUAAGGUAACGGCUUACCAAGGCAACGAUGCAUAGCCGACCUGAGAGGGUGAUCGGCCACACUGGAACUGAGACACGGUCCAGACUCCUACGGGAGGCAGCAGUAGGGAAUCUUCCGCAAUGGGCGAAAGCCUGACGGAGCAACGCCGCGUGAGUGAUGAAGGUCUUCGGAUCGUAAAACUCUGUUAUUAGGGAAGAACAUAUGUGUAAGUAACUGUGCACAUCUUGACGGUACCUAAUCAGAAAGCCACGGCUAACUACGUG